GUGAAUCAUCAAAUCUUUGAACGCAUAUUGCACUCUCUGGUAUUCCGGAGAGGAUGCCUGUUUGCGGGGAAUUAAAAAGAAUCUUUAACCAAUUUUUUUGGUCAAAGGAUAUGAGUUCUCCGCGUUGAUAGCGGUAGCUUGACAUAAAUGUUUAAGUCUCAUUUUAGUCGAGACGCGUAAUACUAUUAUUUCGCGGAAUCUUCAUUCUGUGAUU
This 214-nucleotide unclassified non-coding RNA is filed under the name Ambisporaceae sp. RNAcentral describes it as "partial contains 5.8S ribosomal RNA and internal transcribed spacer 2". The stretch from base 1 to 71 matches the Rfam family "5.8S ribosomal RNA", at positions 84 to 154 of the family's 154-position model. Lineage: Eukaryota; Fungi; Glomeromycota; Glomeromycetes; Archaeosporales; Ambisporaceae. The record is from RNAcentral.